Molecule: ribosomal RNA, 253 nt
Filed under: uncultured bacterium
Lineage: Bacteria
Description: partial 16S ribosomal RNA
Rfam family: Bacterial small subunit ribosomal RNA
Source: RNAcentral
UACGGAGUGUGCAAGCGUUAUUCGGAAUUAUUGGGCGUAAAGGGCGCGUAGGCGGCUUUAUAAGUCUGAUGUGAAAGCCCGUGGCUUAACUCCGGAAGUGCAUUGGAUACUGUAAGGCUUGAGUAUGGGAGAGGGUAGCGGAAUUCCUGGUGUAGAGGUGAAAUUCGUAGAUAUCAGGAGGAACACCGGUGGCGAAGGCGGCUACCUGGACCAAUACUGACGCUGAGGCGAGAAGGCGUGGGGAGCAAACAGG